AUUUGUUCUUUCACAGCUUUAAAGUUUGGAAGUCUGAAAUCAGUUUCAACAAAGUUGAGCUCCACCAAGAGGCUCCAAAGGAAAAUCUCUCCAGCUUCUGGAAGCUGCUGGCUUUCCUUGUGUCAAGGCUCAGUCACUCUGAUCUCUGCCUCUGUCUUCACACCUUCUUCAGAUAAGUUUCUCUUUGUCUUUCUCUUUUAAGAACUCUUAUGAUGGAAUUUAGGACUCAGAUAUGCUGAGAUCCUUAAUUUAAUCACACCUACUAAAAUCCCCCCCCCCCCCAAAUAAGGCAAUGUUCACUGGUUCCAAGGAUUUAGCAUGUAAGAUCUUAUUAGGGAUCCAUUUUUAUCCUUGUAAUCAAAUCAACUCUGGAGCUACUAAACCUCAAGGCCAGACAGUGAUAUUAUAGACAAAGUUCUGGCUAGGAUUAGGAGUCAAUUAUUCAUUCAGAUAUUUAAUAUCUAUGGACUUCAACUUAUUUCAAUUAUAUAAGCUUAUCAACUCUUCAAAAUUGUUUGAGAUGAAAUCCUGCAUGCCAUUCUUGAGAAGAUAAAAUGGCAUAAUUUACCCUUGCAUUGCAAUUCUCAUUUUUGCCAUUGAAUGAAGGUCCUAAAUAAGUAAAUAUUUCCUGAAGCAUUAGAGGAGUUCAAAUUGUAGGGAACUCCUCUGCUGCAGUAUGGCUGGGCACAAAUGCCGCAGUCUGGCUGGGCACAAAAUCACGAGCCACCACACAGCUUGUAGAUUCAAACAGCAACUCUUUAUUCCCGAACUCACCCCAGCCGUCUACAACCACGUUCUGGGGAAAUCCAC
Molecule: long non-coding RNA, 810 nt
Filed under: Marmota monax (woodchuck)
Lineage: Eukaryota; Metazoa; Chordata; Mammalia; Rodentia; Sciuridae
Source: RNAcentral